This is a long non-coding RNA of Brienomyrus brachyistius, 575 nucleotides long. RefSeq lists it as uncharacterized. NCBI's taxonomy places the organism in Eukaryota, Metazoa, Chordata, Actinopteri, Osteoglossiformes, Mormyridae. The record is from RefSeq and is a predicted model, not a curated record. The transcript is spliced from 5 exons.
AUGUAGUCACGUAGUUUUCUUAGACGGUGAACAAGCUGUAUUACAAAGAGCAAAAAGUUUUUUCUUUUGGAGAUACACCGAAAUAUUAAAGAAAUAUUCAGAGAGCGAGACAACAUUGGUUGUGAUGGCUGAACGUUUUUUCCUGCUACUAGUCACCCGCGAGGCACGGAGCAGCCGCGUGAGCACAUUUUGACCAGAGGUCAGGUCCUUUUAGCGGGAACCUAAACUUCCUGGAGCUGCAUUCGAAUAUCGUUGGAUGUCGAUGGCAUACUGGUCCAAGAUUUGCACAAGAUUGACUACACCUAGAGUUAAACCAACAAGGUUACCACAGGCAAUCCAGUCAGGCACUGCAAAUACCCACAAGUCUAUCAAUCCUGGUGAAGAGCUGCUCCACGGAUGGCCGAGGCUGCCCCUGGCCUCUCUUCCGUCGCCGAACACUGGAGCCGUUGCAGUCCAUGGCUCGCUUUCUGCAAUCCAGGUUACCCACCAACUGGAUACACGCCACCAACUGAGGGAUCAAAUACUCUAAUUCAUCUCCGCUUAGCCAACACUCAGCACAAUACAAGCUGCAAGGG